Molecule: ribosomal RNA, 253 nt
Filed under: uncultured bacterium
Lineage: Bacteria
Description: partial 16S ribosomal RNA
Rfam family: Bacterial small subunit ribosomal RNA
Source: RNAcentral
UACGGAGAGGGCUAGCGUUGUUCGGAAUUACUGGGCGUAAAGGGUACGUAGGCGGCCAGGUAGGUCUGCUGUGAAAACUCGAGGCUCAACCUCGAGACGUCGGCGGAAACCAUCUGGCUAGAGUCCGGAAGAGGAGAGUGGAAUUCCUGGUGUAGCGGUGAAAUGCGCAGAUAUCAGGAAGAACACCCGUGGCGAAGGCGGCUCUCUGGGACGGUACUGACGCUGAGACGCGAAAGCGUGGGGAGCGAACAGG